AGACCCGAAACCCGGUGAUCUAGCCAUGGGCAGGUUGAAGGUUGGGUAACACUAACUGGAGGACCGAACCGACUAAUGUUGAAAAAUUAGCGGAUGACCUGUGGCUGGGGGUGAAAGGCCAAUCAAACCGGGAGAUAGCUGGUUCUCCCCGAAAGCUAUUUAGGUAGCGCCUCGUGAAUUCAUCUCCGGGGGUAGAGCACUGUUUCGGCUAGGGGGCCAUCCCGGCUUACCAACCCGAUGCAAACUGCGAAUACCGGAGAAUGUUAUCACGGGAGACACACGGCGGGUGCUAACGUCCGUCGUGAAGAGGGAAACAACCCAGACCGCCAGCUAAGGUCCCAAAGUCAUGGUUAAGUGGGAAACGAUGUGGGAAGGCCCAGACAGCCAGGAUGUUGGCUUAGAAGCAGCCAUCAUUUAAAGAAAGCGUAAUAGCUCACUGGUCGAGUCGGCCUGCGCGGAAGAUGUAACGGGGCUAAACCAUGCACCGAAGCUGCGGCAGCGAACGUAUCACCCAAGACAACUUUACGGAGUUGACGAUUGACGGAGCGAAGCGACGUCAAAGCGUUCAUUAAAGUCGAGUUGGCUUAGGGAUACGUUCGUUGGGUAGGGGAGCGUUCUGUAAGCCUGUGAAGGUGUGUCGUGAGGCAUGCUGGAGGUAUCAGAAGUGCGAAUGCUGACA
This 679-nucleotide ribosomal RNA is filed under the name Salmonella enterica. RNAcentral's name for it is "partial 23S ribosomal RNA". It matches the Rfam family "Bacterial large subunit ribosomal RNA", at positions 711 to 1302 of the family's 2925-position model. The record is from RNAcentral. Lineage: Bacteria; Pseudomonadati; Pseudomonadota; Gammaproteobacteria; Enterobacterales; Enterobacteriaceae. RNAcentral also lists the same sequence under 1 other name.